Molecule: ribosomal RNA, 580 nt
Filed under: uncultured bacterium
Lineage: Bacteria
Description: bacterial SSU rRNA
Rfam family: Bacterial small subunit ribosomal RNA
Source: RNAcentral
ACGGGUGAGUAACACGUAGGCAACCUGCCCUCAAGUUUGGGACAACUACCGGAAACGGUAGCUAAUACCGAAUAGUUGUUUUCUUCGCCUGAAGGAAACUGGAAAGACGGAGCAAUCUGUCACUUGGGGAUGGGCCUGCGGCGCAUUAGCUAGUUGGUGGGGUAACGGCUCACCAAGGCGACGAUGCGUAGCCGACCUGAGAGGGUGAUCGGCCACACUGGGACUGAGGCACGGCCCAGACUCCUACGGGAGGCAGCAGUAGGGAAUCUUCCGCAAUGGGCGAAAGCCUGACGGAGCAAUGCCGCGUGAGUGAUGAAGGUUUUCGGAUCGUAAAGCUCUGUUGCCAGGGAAGAACGCUUGGGAGAGUAACUGCUCUCAAGGUGACGGUACCUGAGAAGAAAGCCCCGGCUAACUACGUGCCAGCAGCCGCGGUAAUACGUAGGGGGCAAGCGUUGUCCGGAAUUAUUGGGCGUAAAGCGCGCGCAGGCGGUCAUUUAAGUCUGGUGUUUAAUCCCGGGGCUCAACCCCGGAUCGCACUGGAAACUGGGUGACUUGAGUGCAGAAGAGGAGAGUGGAAUUC